RNAcentral lists this ribosomal RNA (191 nucleotides) under uncultured Bacteroidota bacterium. RNAcentral describes it as "uncultured Bacteroidetes bacterium partial 16S ribosomal RNA". It matches the Rfam family "Bacterial small subunit ribosomal RNA", at positions 338 to 526 of the family's 1533-position model. The record is from RNAcentral. Lineage: Bacteria; Pseudomonadati; Bacteroidota.
CCUACGGGAGGCAGCAGUAAGGAAUAUUGGACAAUGGUCGGAAGACUGAUCCAGCCAUGCCGCGUGAAGGACGAAGGCGCUCAGCGUUGUAAACUUCUUUUGGAUGGGGAUAAUAGGCUCGAUUUAUCGGGUUUUGAAGGUACCAUCAGAAUAAGCACCGGCUAACUCCGUGCCAGCAGCCGCGGUAAUAA